UACGUAGGAGGCAAGCGUUGUCCGGAGUUACUGGGCGUAAAGCGCACGCAGGCGGUCCCAUUAGUCUGUAGGGACAGGGCACGGCUCAACCGUGUCAGGCUUAUGGAAACUGUGGGACUUGAGGGCUUCAGAGGGAUGGGGAAUUCCGGGUGGAGUGGUGAAAUGCGUAGAGAUCCGGAAGAACACCAAAGGCGAAGGCACCAUCCUGGGGAGUCACUGACGCUCGGGUGCGAAAGCUAGGGGAGCGAACGGG
RNAcentral lists this ribosomal RNA (253 nucleotides) under uncultured bacterium. RNAcentral describes it as "partial 16S ribosomal RNA". It matches the Rfam family "Bacterial small subunit ribosomal RNA", at positions 524 to 776 of the family's 1533-position model. The record is from RNAcentral.